GGGUCAGUAGGUUGGUCGUGCCACCGGUACGUACUGGUCUCACUGAUUCCUCCUUCCUGAAGAACCGUAAUGCCAUUAAUUUGGCGUUGCGGGGAAACAGGACUGUUACUUUGAAAAAAUUAGAGUGUUUAAAGCAAGCUAACGCUUGAAUACAUUAGCAUGGAAUAAUGAAAUAGGACGAUCGAUCCUAUUUUGUCGGUUUCUAGGAUUGACGUA
Molecule: ribosomal RNA, 216 nt
Filed under: Glomeromycotina sp.
Lineage: Eukaryota; Fungi; Glomeromycota
Description: partial small subunit ribosomal RNA
Rfam family: Eukaryotic small subunit ribosomal RNA (bases 44-216)
Source: RNAcentral